UGGGGAAUAUUGCACAAUGGGCGAAAGCCUGAUGCAGCAACGCCGCGUGAGUGAUGAAGGCCUUCGGGUUGUAAAGCUCUGUCUUUUGGGACGAUAAUGACGGUACCAAAGGAGGAAGCCACGGCUAACUACGUGCCAGCAGCCGCGGUAAUACGUAGGUGGCAAGCGUUGUCCGGAUUUACUGGGCGUAAAGGAUGCGUAGGCGGAUUUUUAAGUGAGAUGUGAAAUACCCGGGCUUAACUUGGGUGCUGCAUUUCAAACUGGGAAUCUAGAGUGCGGGAGAGGAGAAUGGAAUUCCUAGUGUAGCGGUGAAAUGCGUAGAGAUUAGGAAGAACACCAGUGGCGAAAGGCGAUUCUCUGGACCGUAACUGACGCUGAGGCAUGAAAGCGUGGGUAGCAAACAGGAUUAGAUACCCUGGUAGUCCACGCCGUAAACGAUGAGUACUAGGUGUA
RNAcentral lists this ribosomal RNA (453 nucleotides) under uncultured bacterium. Its description in RNAcentral is "partial 16S ribosomal RNA". It matches the Rfam family "Bacterial small subunit ribosomal RNA", at positions 355 to 824 of the family's 1533-position model. The record is from RNAcentral.